UUCCGGUUGAUCCCGCCGGACCUGACUGCUAUCGGAUUGAUACUAAGCCAUGCGAGUCAUUGUAGCAAUACAAGGCAGACGGCUCAGUAACGCGUAGUCAACCUAACCUAUGGACGAGAAUAACCUCGGGAAACUGAGAAUAAUGCUCGAUAGAACACUAUACCUGGAAUGGUUUGUGUUCCAAAUGAUUUAUCGCCGUAGGAUGGGACUGCGGCCUAUCAGUUUGUUGGUGAGGUAAUGGCCCACCAAGACUAUUACAGGUACGGGCUCUGAGAGGAGUAGCCCGGAGAUGGGUACUGAGACACGGACCCAGGCCCUAUGGGGCGCAGCAGGCGAGAAAACUUUGCAAUGUGCGAAAGCACGACAAGGUUAAUCCGAGUGAUUUGUGCUAAACGAAUCUUUUGUUAGUCCUAGAAACACUAACGAAUAAGGGGUGGGCAAGUUCUGGUGUCAGCCGCCGCGGUAAAACCAGCACCUCAAGUGGUCAGGAUGAUUAUUGGGCCUAAAGCAUCCGUAGCCGGCUCUGUAAGUUUUCGGUUAAAUCUGUAUGCUCAACAUACAGGCUGCCGGGAAUACUGCAGAGCUAGGGAGUGGGAGAGGUAGACGGUACUCGGUAGGAAGGGGUAAAAUCCUUUGAUCUAUUGAUGACCACCUGUGGCGAAGGCGGUCUACCAGAACACGUCCGACGGUGAGGGAUGAAAGCUGGGGGGAGCAAACCGGAUUAGAUACCCGGGUAGUCCCAGCUGUAAACUAUGCAAACUCAGUGAUGCAUUGGCUUGUGGCCAAUGCAGUGCUGCAGGGAAGCCGUUAAGUUUGCCGCCUGGGAAGUACGUACGCAAGUAUGAAACUUAAAGGAAUUGGC
Molecule: ribosomal RNA, 862 nt
Filed under: uncultured archaeon
Lineage: Archaea
Description: bacterial SSU rRNA
Rfam family: Archaeal small subunit ribosomal RNA
Source: RNAcentral